Molecule: ribosomal RNA, 487 nt
Filed under: Pseudomonas sp. CL4.135
Lineage: Bacteria; Pseudomonadati; Pseudomonadota; Gammaproteobacteria; Pseudomonadales; Pseudomonadaceae
Description: bacterial SSU rRNA
Rfam family: Bacterial small subunit ribosomal RNA
Source: RNAcentral
CCCUGGCUCAGAUUGAACGCUGGCGGCAGGCCUAACACAUGCAAGUCGAGCGGCAGCACGGGUACUUGUACCUGGUGGCGAGCGGCGGACGGGUGAGUAAUGCCUAGGAAUCUGCCUGGUAGUGGGGGAUAACGCUCGGAAACGGACGCUAAUACCGCAUACGUCCUACGGGAGAAAGCAGGGGACCUUCGGGCCUUGCGCUAUCAGAUGAGCCUAGGUCGGAUUAGCUAGUUGGUGAGGUAAUGGCUCACCAAGGCGACGAUCCGUAACUGGUCUGAGAGGAUGAUCAGUCACACUGGAACUGAGACACGGUCCAGACUCCUACGGGAGGCAGCAGUGGGGAAUAUUGGACAAUGGGCGAAAGCCUGAUCCAGCCAUGCCGCGUGUGUGAAGAAGGUCUUCGGAUUGUAAAGCACUUUAAGUUGGGAGGAAGGGCAGUAACAUUAAUACUUUGCUGUUUUGACGUUACCGACAGAAUAAGCACCGG